UUCUGUAAGCCUGCGAAGGUGUGCUGUGAGGCAUGCUGGAGGUAUCAGAAGUGCGAAUGCUGACAUAAGUAACGAUAAAGCGGGUGAAAAGCCCGCUCGCCGGAAGACCAAGGGUUCCUGUCCAACGUUAAUCGGGGCAGGGUGAGUCGACCCCUAAGGCGAGGCCGAAAGGCGUAGUCGAUGGGAAACAGGUUAAUAUUCCUGUACUUGGUGUUACUGCGAAGGGGGGACGGAGAAGGCUAUGUUGGCCGGGCGACGGUUGUCCCGGUUUAAGCGUGUAGGCUGGUUUUCCAGGCAAAUCCGGAAAAUCAAGGCUGAGGCGUGAUGACGAGGCACUGCGGUGCUGAAGCAACAAAUGCCCUGCUUCCAGGAAAAGCCUCUAAGCAUCAGGUAACAUCAAAUCGUACCCCAAACCGACACAGGUGGUCAGGUAGAGAAUACCAAGGCGCUUGAGAGAACUCGGGUGAAGGAACUAGGCAAAAUGGUGCCGUAACUUCGGGAGAAGGCACGCUGAUAUGUAGGUGAAGUCCCUCGCGGAUGGAGCUGAAAUCAGUCGAAGAUACCAGCUGGCUGCAACUGUUUAUUAAAAACACAGCACUGUGCAAACACGAAAGUGGACGUAUACGGUGUGACGCCUGCCCGGUGCCGGAAGGUUAAUUGAUGGGGUUAGCGCAAGCGAAGCUCUUGAUCGAAGCCCCGGUAAACGGCGGCCGUAACUAUAACGGUCCUAAGGUAGCGAAAUUCCUUGUCGGGUAAGUUCCGACCUGCACGAAUGGCGUAAUGAUGGCCAGGCUGUCUCCACCCGAGACUCAGUGAAAUUGAACUCGCUGUGAAGAUGCAGUGUACCCGCGGCAAGACGGAAAGACCCCGUGAACCUUUACUAUAGCUUGACACUGAACAUUGAGCCUUGAUGUGUAGGAUAGGUGGGAGGCUUUGAAGUGUGGACGCCAGUCUGCAUGGAGCCGACCUUGAAAUACCACCCUUUAAUGUUUGAUGUUCUAACGUUGACCCGUAAUCCGGGUUGCGGACAGUGUCUGGUGGGUAGUUUGACUGGGGCGGUCUCCUCCUAAAGAGUAACGGAGGAGCACGAAGGUUGGCUAAUCCUGGUCGGACAUCAGGAGGUUAGUGCAAUGGCAUAAGCCAGCUUGACUGCGAGCGUGACGGCGCGAGCAGGUGCGAAAGCAGGUCAUAGUGAUCCGGUGGUUCUGAAUGGAAGGGCCAUCGCUCAACGGAUAAAAGGUACUCCGGGGAUAACAGGCUGAUACCGCCCAAGAGUUCAUAUCGACGGCGGUGUUUGGCACCUCGAUGUCGGCUCAUCACAUCCUGGGGCUGAAGUAGGUCCCAAGGGUAUGGCUGUUCGCCAUUUAAAGUGGUACGCGAGCUGGGUUUAGAACGUCGUGAGACAGUUCGGUCCCUAUCUGCCGUGGGCGCUGGAGAACUGAGGGGGGCUGCUCCUAGUACGAGAGGACCGGAGUGGACGCAUCACUGGUGUUCGGGUUGUCAUGCCAAUGGCACUGCCCGGUAGCUAAAUGCGGAAGAGAUAAGUGCUGAAAGCAUCUAAGCACGAAACUUGCCCCGAGAUGAGUUCUCCCUGACUCCUUGAGAGUCCUGAAGGAACGUUGAAGACGACGACGUUGAUAGGCCGGGUGUGUAAGCGCAGCGAUGCGUUGAGCUAACCGGUACUAAUGAACCGUGAGG
This 1698-nucleotide ribosomal RNA is filed under the name Escherichia coli. Its description in RNAcentral is "partial 23S ribosomal RNA". It matches the Rfam family "Bacterial large subunit ribosomal RNA", at positions 1239 to 2915 of the family's 2925-position model. Lineage: Bacteria; Pseudomonadati; Pseudomonadota; Gammaproteobacteria; Enterobacterales; Enterobacteriaceae. The record is from RNAcentral.